AGUCGAACGGCAGCACGGGAGCAUCCUGGUGGCGAGUGGCGAACGGGUGAGUAAUACAUCGGAACGUGCCCUGUCGUGGGGGAUAACUAGUCGAAAGAUUAGCUAAUACCGCAUACGACCUGAGGGUGAAAGCGGGGGACCGUAGGGCCUCGCGCGAUAGGAGCGGCCGAUGUCUGAUUAGCUAGUUGGUGGGGUAAAGGCCCACCAAGGCGACGAUCAGUAGCUGGUCUGAGAGGACGAUCAGCCACACUGGGACUGAGACACGGCCCAGACUCCUACGGGAGGCAGCAGUGGGGAAUUUUGGACAAUGGGGGCAACCCUGAUCCAGCAAUGCCGCGUGUGUGAAGAAGGCCUUCGGGUUGUAAAGCACUUUUGUCCGGAAAGAAAUCCCUUGCCCUAAUACGGCGGGGGGAUGACGGUACCGGAAGAAUAAGCACCGGCUAACUACGUGCCAGCAGCCGCGGUAAUACGUAGGGUGCGAGCGUUAAUCGGAAUUACUGGGCGUAAAGCGUGCGCAGGCGGUUUUGUAAGACAGGCGUGAAAUCCCCGAGCUCAACUUGGGAAUGGCGCUUGUGACUGCAAGGCUAGAGUAUGUCAGAGGGGGGUAGAAUUCCACGUGUAGCAGUGAAAUGCGUAGAGAUGUGGAGGAAUACCGAUGGCGAAGGCAGCCCCCUGGGACGUCACUGACGCUCAUGCACGAAAGCG
This 705-nucleotide ribosomal RNA is filed under the name uncultured Cupriavidus sp. RNAcentral describes it as "bacterial SSU rRNA". It matches the Rfam family "Bacterial small subunit ribosomal RNA", at positions 60 to 761 of the family's 1533-position model. Lineage: Bacteria; Pseudomonadati; Pseudomonadota; Betaproteobacteria; Burkholderiales; Burkholderiaceae. The record is from RNAcentral.